GCAGAUUCGUCCUUUGUUGUUGAAUCCGGUAGAUUUAGAUUCGACUCGGUUUAAUCACUCUGGGGAAGAAGAGUGUCCUAUGAGGAUCUACUGGCCGACGUGCUCAAGAGGGUCCCGCUGCUGCGCACAGCCUUGCGAGAGCACCUGCCGGUCUCACUGGGUUCGGGGGCCGGCGCCUCUGCUCACACGUUGUGAUUUUCCUGCCCCAACAGAAAGUUUUGGAAGCGUUUCCUGGCUACAUCUUGCCAUCGUACUCUGGCGUCUAGUUACAAUGAGGAACCCCCGUCUGAGCCCAAGGGAGCCCAGCUUCGCUCUCUCAACAUCUCUUCCACCACUUCCCGGGGGCUAAGUGGGAAUUCACUCCAGACAGCAGUUCUGGCCCCAUCAGGGCACAACUCGCGUCUGGGCCAGAACUUCAUCUCUUCAUUGCAGAAAGUUAAGGAAAUCGUUGCUCAGCCAGGGAGCAAAGAUUGGCUCUGCAGCUGCUCUUUUAUGGAGCUGUUAACGCAGAGACACCAUUACUUAAAUGUAAUUUUUAGUAUUACAAUUAAAGACUGAUUUGAUUUUAUGAGAUCAUGCAUUUUUAUUUUAUGGACGUUUUUGUAGUUAAAUUCAAUUUAAAAGAUUGUAUUUAAAGUAAGGUAUAAGCACGGAGCGUAUUAAAGUUAUGUAAGCCUGCUUUUGGCGCUCUGAUAGCAAAGCUUCCAGCACUGGAUUACUCUGGUAGCGUCACAUGUUUCCUGCUACAACUACGUACUAGCUCAGGAGAAACGAACUUGGCUUCCUCUGUUUGUGACAGCCCCAAAUCUGUCAAGCCUCACGAAGCUCACUGUCAAUUUUCUGCAGGAAAGAAACACUCCUCUCCUUUCAGCCGACUCUCUGAGGAAGGACUUCCAUGGACCCAGGUGCUCUUUCGCUGGGAUUUCACUCUCUGUGCGACACGGAGCUGUGCCCGUGGGGACCAGCCUGCAGAAUGCCACGAGCUGUGCCCGUGGGGACCAGCCCUCCCAGGGCUGAGGCCAGCUGAUGACCCGGUGCGAUUUUUGAAGGCUUCGUUUCUGACGGCAGAAAAACACGUCAGCGUAUUUGCACGGAAUAGAUUAAGCUGCUGGGAACCACGUCCCCUUCAACCGGACUGACGUGGGACCAAGAAGGGGCUUUGUCCUUGUCACCUGGCCUGUCCUAGGUCACCGGGACAAGCAAGGGAAGCGGCGGACCCUCUUUUAAGCCCCACGUCGCAAAAAUGCGUGAAAUGAACCCAGACUGAAUUAGAUCCUUCCUCCCACGUAUUUUGGCUGAAAGGUCGCUCUUCCUUCUCUCACUCGUGUUUCCUGGGCGCGAAACCUGGU
RNAcentral lists this long non-coding RNA (1349 nucleotides) under Sus scrofa (pig). RNAcentral's name for it is "lncRNA (ENSSSCG00050067844.1)". Lineage: Eukaryota; Metazoa; Chordata; Mammalia; Artiodactyla; Suidae. The record is from RNAcentral.